UUCUAAAAUAAGAUCUUCUACAAUAUAAUAUUUUCUUCUUUCUUUCAUUCAUUAGACAUAUUGCAUUACAACAAUAUGGAAUUAAUACUUUCAUAAUGGAUUAUAAUUGUGGUAUGUAGAUGCAACUAAUUAAAUUUUCUACUCAGUCAAUUAAGUGUAAUUAAUCAAAAAAAAUGUGGAAUUAUAUUGGCGUGCUUUUGAAGCAAGUUUCCUACUAUUAUUUGAUAUUUUUAUGCUUAUAUUUAUAAUAUUAUGCUAUUAUAUGCAUGAAUUAGAUAUUAUGCUCAUAUAUGUGUAUGUGGGUAGUCUAUGCUAACUUCAAAUUUGUAUAUACACUAGAUAUCUUGACUUUAUUUGUUAUUUUACUACACUUACUUGAAAUCAAAAGAUUAUGUGUUUUACAUAACUAUUUGAAGACCAACGUUACAGAUUUCCACAAGAUCUUUGGUUGUUAUCAUACCAAGAAUAUUUUCAUUCUAAAUUUUUACUAAAAGCACUUGAAUAUAAAACCAUAAUUUAGGCGUUUUGUUAAGCUUUUUAUAUUUCUUUGUUCUAAUUGAUUGGUAGGAAAUAUUCUAAAGAUAGGCAUUGAGGUAGGAUCCAUAGUAAUGCUUCUUAUCAAUUACCACCCUAAUCUCUAUACAAUUUGUUGGAAUUUUUGAUUUAUAUAAUUGUUGUACCAGUUUGUCUAUAUGGUGGAUUCAUUUCAUGAAUUUAUUACUAUCCAUUCAUCUUUCAAAUUUAUUUAUAGUUUCUUUGUUGAUCCAUGUGACAAUUUGUUUAUUUGUUUCUUUGUUGAUCGCUGUAGGGUUUGUUGUUUUGUGGCUUGAUACUUUACAAGACACACCAUGGCGGACUAAAGCUGUGACUGAGAACUCACCAUCAGCAGGGUAUUUGAAGAGGAUUGUAUGGGCAAGAGCAGAGGUGUAUGUGUGUUCUUUUUAUUGUUUCAGAUUUUUUAAUGUUUUUUUUGUUGAUCCAUGUGUUUCUUUGUUUUUAAUUUUUAUUGUUGUCUGUUUGUUGUUUGUUUGAUCAGCCAUUUACAAACUGAGUAAGGUUUGAAUCUGCAAAAAAAUCAUUUUGAUAAACCUAACAGCAACUUGCAACAACACCAGACUGUGGCAGAAAGGUCUUGCCACAAUCAACAUUUAUUAGAGCUAUGAAGACAAACAACAACCAAUGAUAAUAAACAACAAUACUAGAACAUAUGUGAGUCUUAAAUUCUAGAAGUUUUUUAAUUCUUGUGUAUUUUUUUGUUUUUGUUUAUUUUUUUAUGUGUAUGAAAUAUGUUAAUUCUUAAAUGGGAGCCAAUUUUUUAUUUGUCAUCUUUUGGCUUAUAUAUUUUUGUUUAAAAUAUUAAAAAACUUGUACCAUAAGGUUACUUUUUUUAAUUGUGCUACUAUAUAAACAAGUUCUUCAAUUUGCAAGUAUUGUUUCUUAUCAUUGUAGUGCUCAUCUUUAAUAUUGGUGAUGAUACUCUUGCAACACAAUAGACGAAGUUAUCACUAAGAUAAUAAGUGCUAUAUUUAUUACAAAUUUACUGCUAGAAAUAAAGACUUCCUAUGUAGUACAUUGUUCAAUUGAAUCAAUCUUUGAUAAUUCUUUGUCAAAGCCAAAGAAAUCUUUCUUUUGUUGUAGUGAUAUAUAGAGCAUUGAGAGUUAGAAGAUGUGUAGGAAUUCCAAACUAGCAGUAAGAAGAUGAAUGCAUAUAUAUCAUGUAGUUGGAAUAUAUAGGAUAUACGUAAAUAAAUGAGUGCAUAUGUAGUGCAUCAUUAUAUAAAGAAUAUAGAUCAUUUUGGUGCUGAAAGUUCAUCAUUAUUUUGGAACUUAUAUUGGUUGAUUAGACCUUUUAUAAUAAAACUAUAUGGUAUUUAUUAAGAAAAUUAUGCAUUGUAAUAAAAAAAAUAUAUAUAUAUAUAUAUAUUACAUGAUCAUAUCUAUUAUAAUCAAGUAUAUGUAAUAUCUAAGAUAUUUUUCAUAAAUCAUAGUAUUUUCUUGGAAAUAGUAUUUAAACAUAUCCAUUAUAUUCUUCCACAUCUACAAUCAAAGGACCUAAAAAUGUUAUUCUUCUAUAAUGAUGGUUUAUUUUGUUGGUGUGAUUUAAAUUGAAAAGACCAUAAGAAGGUUUCAUUAACAAACUUGAAUACAAAUAUAAAUAAUAGUGAUUUAGAAUUAUAAUUUAUAUAUUUUUAAUUAUGUGAUUUUUAAAAAAUUAUAACAAUAAUCCAUGUAUUAUUAUUAUUAUUAUUAUUAUUAUUAUUAUCAAAAGAUAUUAUUAUUAUUAUCAAAAGAUAUUAUUAUUAUUAAAAUAAUCUUAUUAUUAAAAGAUAUUAUUAUCAAAAGGUAUUAUCAAAUCAUUUUUU
This 2363-nucleotide long non-coding RNA is filed under the name Physcomitrium patens. RNAcentral describes it as "long non-coding RNA (PPAT_LNC000614)". Lineage: Eukaryota; Viridiplantae; Streptophyta; Bryopsida; Funariales; Funariaceae. The record is from RNAcentral.